RNAcentral lists this ribosomal RNA (253 nucleotides) under uncultured bacterium. Its description in RNAcentral is "partial 16S ribosomal RNA". It matches the Rfam family "Bacterial small subunit ribosomal RNA", at positions 524 to 776 of the family's 1533-position model. The record is from RNAcentral.
UACGUAGGGUGCAAGCGUUGUCCGGAAUUAUUGGGCGUAAAGCGUGCGCAGGCGGUUCGUUGUGUCGGUGGUGAAAUCCCCGGGCUUAACCUGGGAAUGGCCAUGGAAACUGGCGAACUGGAGUGUGGCAGAGGGGGGUGGAAUUCCGCGUGUAGCAGUGAAAUGCGUAGAGAUGCGGAGGAACACCGAUGGCGAAGGCAGCCCCCUGGGCUAGCACUGACGCUCAGGCACGAAAGCGUGGGGAGCAAACAGG